UUUAUCCUGCCUUGUGCGUGAUAAAGCACAUUUGGGCCUACACGCAGAUAAAUGGAGUCCACAUUCCGUAUCGGGGCGCAGACCUCCCCUACGUGGCCGACUUUGUGCCGCCGCGCCAGGGACGCUGGGAGCGACGAGGAUCGGAGAGGACACCUCCCUGGAAGAACAGGGCUAAAACAUGCUUUACACGGCAAAGGUGGGAGUUAU
This 207-nucleotide non-coding RNA is filed under the name Clostridia bacterium. RNAcentral's name for it is "6S RNA". It matches the Rfam family "6S / SsrS RNA". From Rfam's summary of the family: E. coli 6S RNA was the first non coding RNA to be sequenced, but its function was unknown until recently. It consists of 184 nucleotides that fold into an extended hairpin structure with a large single-stranded internal bulge. The 6S RNA specifically associates with RNA polymerase holoenzyme containing the sigma70 specificity factor. The record is from RNAcentral. Lineage: Bacteria; Bacillati; Bacillota; Clostridia.